Molecule: long non-coding RNA, 4506 nt
Organism: Mya arenaria
Lineage: Eukaryota; Metazoa; Mollusca; Bivalvia; Myida; Myidae
Exons: 5
Source: RefSeq, a predicted model, not a curated record
AUGGCGUCUAGAAAGGAACAUGCGAGGACUUUUGUAACCUUUAUUGAAAUGGUAUAUUACCAGGGACUAUGAUAUGUUUGCGGUGUUAAAGAUAUGAUGUAACAACGUGUUAUCUAAAGAACUAUCUCAUUGUUUAUAUCCAAAUCAACAUACAAACCAGUGAAAUCGAGUUGAUGUGUGCAAUUUGACAGUUCGUGAAGAUGAAGCUUAAUAUUUUGAAAUAUAUGACAUACAUGGAAGAAUAAUUUGUAGAUAAAGUAUUUUCCACGAAUUCAACAACAUAAAUCAUGCUACAUUAUGGAGUGGAAGUUCAAUGAUAUUGUGUAAACAUUGUGUAAUUAAAUAUUUGCACACACUUUGGAGUGUAAGCAGAAAACUCAAAACAGUGCGGUCACACAAGUUUAACACGGAUCCUUACAGGAGUUCUAAUGAUGAAGAUUUAUAUUCAUAAAGGUUGCAAGCAAUUACCCUGUGGACAGUUUCAAGGUGUUUGCGGGACUUGGAAAAACACUAUUAGCAGUGACAUUGACCCUAGAGGCUGCAAACGCAAUCCCAUGAAAGUUUAUCAAGGGGUGCCUGUGCCUAUUAGCUGCAUUUUGGCAUGACCCCACCGUGACACCAUCAUGACAUACAUAGUGUUUAAAUGCCAUAAGUGACAUGAGAUAGAAGUGACUUGCAAUUCACAGUCAGACCCAGACAUUGGAAGACUUAUAGAAACAGAGUGAGACAGAAGAGAUUGGGGUGCAGUAUCCUAGCUCUUUGAGAACAGAAACAUGAUCGGUGUAAAGCAUCGAUACUCAGGAUAUAGUAACAUCAGUACCAUUAUAAUUAAAGAAGUUUUAUUAGCGUAAGUGUCAGUGACAAGGGAUUAGUGGCCGCUAUGUAGUAGUUAAAUGGCUUCAAGGGGUCAAAAAUUAGUGACUGCGGCCACGUUAGACAGUUGGCUGCUUAAUGAACGUAAUUUAUUAUAAAACGUACGGGGGAGGGAUUUUGAGUGGCCCGGUAAGGCAGGUGGCCUUUUAAAGCAGGUGACCAUUCAACCAGGUUUGACUGUACUUGUGUAAUAGUUUGGGUCUUUGGUCACUGAGUGCAUACUUCAUUAAAAAUAAACAUUCUUUCUCUACAUACUUGGGAAGGAUAAGAGUGGCAAAAAGCUUAUAUCGGUAGCCUCUCUAAAAUAACACUAUCUGUGCAUAUUUCCCACAACUUAAAAACCAACAGGUAUAACGAAAAGAGAAAACCUUACUUUUUAUAAUUUACUAUCAUUUUAUUGAGAUAAAGUAUUUUCAAAAUUGCCACACUAUUUUUAACACUGGGGAUAUCUUGUGUAUGAUAUGCAGUCACAGUGAUUGCAAUUCUAGUUUGUAAGGAAAAGUGAUUUGCAUUCAUUAAGUAUUUGCCAACUCAUGUUGCAAAAACAAUGCAACGUACACUUUAUAGCUCAUUAACCGUGUGUAUAGAACACUUUUCAUCUUAGUCUGCGCUAGGUUUUGUUAAAUUAAUAAUCAAACAAACAAGAGCUGCCGCAGCACAGCACGCUCGACUAUAUGCCACUUUGUCUUAGCAAUUCAGUACUAACCAUUUUUCUAUUUUAAGUAAUAGUGACCUUGACCUUGACCAUGAUUCUCGGGGUCCCAAACACAAUCCUAUGAAUGGUCUCUAUAAACAUUUUCUAUCUACUAUGUUUAGUCACAAUAUUAAUAUAUAACUUAAAUUAUUCAGACAAACCAUUUUUAUAUUUUUAGUAACAGCGACCUAGGGGCACCAAAUGUUAUCCCGUGAAAGGUCUUCAUAAACUCUUCCUAUGUAUAAAGUUUGGUUACAAUACGUCAAACCUAACUAAAAUUAUUCGAUACCAUAGGUGAGUUUGAUGCCGCCCUCCUGCUGGCCGCCCGAACAUCGACUUAUAUCAUUUUUAUGACCGGGUUUCACUCUUUCACUUUGUGAAAACAUGGUUGAAAAUAUAAAAACAUGCCUGUCAAUAGCCAAAACAUUUUUUAAUAAAAAUUAACUUUUUUAAUCGAUCAAGGGCUAUAAAUUGUAUUUAGGAUAAUAUGGAGUUAUGAAACCUAAUUGUGUGAUGGCAAUAACUGUGUGAAUUAUGAAGCCAAUUAUAAAAGCACCGGCUAGUCUCAAUCAUGCAGCCGCUCUAAUUAGAGUCAAUGAACGAUAUUAUUUAAGACCCGCAUAUACAAGCGUCUAGAUGCUCGGGACUAAAUUGGCAACAUGAAAACAUUUAUUUCACUUCCUGAUUCUUAAAAAUUAUGUCAACAAAUGACAAUUCUACCACCAUUUAAAGUUUGAUUAAAUUUUGGACAAAUGUGUUGGUUUAAUUGGGCUCCCGCUAAAAGUAAACAUAUAUAUAUAUACUGGGCAAGAAGUGCUGAAUUUUAUCGUGAAUGACAGUGAUUAUCCGAAGUUUGAAUUUGGUUCGGACAUGUUUGACGGGAAUUCGGAUGACCGUUACAGUGGAAAGACAGUUUCCAAUCGGUCAUCUAUACCUACUACACCUGUCCAGGUUUAAAAAUUCAGAUUCCUCCGACGCAGCGGAUCAUGAAAUUCCCGUCCCCAUGAGGCAAUGAGGGCGUGCUUGUGGUGGAGGCCUUGGUCGCCGAUGAGUCAAUGUUUGUGGACAGUAGGAUGACGCCAAAAAUUAACCCGACUGACAUUCAUAUGUGCUUCAUGCAAUCCCAUGAGUUUUACCAUUCACACAAAAACAUCAAACAAGCCGGAUUGUGUAUAUUUUAUUAGUCAAAAAGGAUAAAAGAAAUAGUGUCAGACUGUGUGAUUGGAAAAAGGUAUUAAUCACACUUUGUGUUGCGAAUAAAUGUUUGUAGAUUUUUUAGAUGUUCACGUGUAUAUUUAAACUAUAUAUGGAAAUCAUUCAAGUGUUAAAUGUUUAUGCUGAUUGGUUUUUGUCUAUGAAAAAAUAUUGCAUAUUCUUGUAUUGUCUUGAAAUAUUUUUUGCUAUAUAUGAAAAUUGACACAAUGAGUAUUUGCAGUACAACAGAAGUAAAAGUGUCUUUUGUAUGUAUGUUUAUGUUUACUAUUACUUGUCUAAAUUUGAACAAGAUAUCUAAAAAAAAUUAAGGAAAAUCUGCAAGUUUAAAAAAGAUAGGCGUUAAAUUCUGAGAAAACCUAAAAUCAAUCUGGCGCUGGCUGGAAUUUUCUGUGUCAUAUUUGGUGCUGAAAUGGUUAACAAUACGGUGUAGUUUUUUGUAAAUUCUCUUCCAGAACUUAGAUGGCUACCAAGGCCAAUUGUGUAGUCAAAGCAAGAGUGAUAGCUGUAGUUUAUAUUUGAUUUCAAAUGCCUAUAUUCAUUUUGCGAGUUAUUUUUCAAGUCACCUUGUCUAGUCAUUUCCAUGGCAUGAGAUAUGACAAUGUAUUUUAAUAGAGAAUUAUUUUUUUACCAAGUUUUCCUAAGGAAAAGAGGAAAACCUAUUUAUAGAUUUGGAUAUGCCAUUGGGCAGGCAGGUGGCUGUCAGGGGCGUAGCUUCCUAUAGGCCGUGUAGGUCGCGGCCUACACAAUUUUCAGAAAAUAAUAAUAAUAAUAAUGCCAAAUCUGCAAUAAAACUUAAUUAAUAUAUCGGAAACCAGGUAUUUCAAAUCUAUCGUUUUCAUUUUCACUAAAAUACACAUUCAUACGACAUUAAUGUUACGUAUAUAAGUUGUCGAAAUAUGCAUACCAGUAGUCUGCACUUUGAUGCUGUUCAUUACAUAAAAUAUUCAUUUACGGUAAAGCAUAUUGAUAUCGUUACUCUCAUUAAUGUUUUUACAACAAAGAAAUAUAUGCUAAAACACACCCAAGACCACCUAGCUUAAACGAAAUCCCGGGGAUGCAUGCCCUCGUGACCCCCCCCCCUCCUCAGAAAGUGGCCUACACAUAUACUUUCGUCAAGCUACGCACUUGGCUGUGACCAUUGGAGCUUGUGUCCAGGCUCUUAGCCAUGCAUAGGGUAUUUUGGAAAAACUUUUCAAAGAGGUUUAAAAAUAACUGGAAAACUGUGGUUUUGAGUUCUCUCAUUUAUGAAAUAGUUUAAAGAAAUACAUUUGCUUGAUCUCAAAUAGCAUUUGUUUGAUCUCAAAUCUAAUAUUUGUAUAGAAUUAUCUUUAAGUGUUAUCAUUCUUUCACUGGAUGUUAUCCUUGUACUGUUUACAAUAUCAUUGUUUAAUUAAUAAGUGAUAAAAUGUGAGCAAAAGUGAGUUAAAUGACUAUAUAUAUUUGUUCUCUCUUCGCUCGCUCCUCUUUUUUGCUAAAUGCAAAACAAAUAUUUCAUUAUUAUUUCGCUCCCUCGCCCCAUUAUUUUUUAGAAAAAAUCCGAUGAACAAGUUAUCAAUUUGGUGUGGCCUAAUAUGGAGGUAUGUUACUUCAAUGAGUGAUGGUCCUGAACAGCUGUGUGAAGUAUAACCAUAAAUCACUGUGUAUAGGACACACUUUCCCCCUCAGAAUUUCCACAAAUAAAAUGCCUGUGUCUUAUAUAUAGUAUUAGGCUUUUAACAUUUCUU